CAGUGGUUCUCUAAAAGAAGACAUUUGUAUGUAUUUCCCAUAGGGUCCUAUGUUAAACUAAGUCCCCCGCUGGUGGCCAUCUUGGAUGAUGGAUCGGCUACAAAGUAACAACACUUAGUCAGCACCUCAUAAGGAACAUUCAUGCCAUGUUUGGUUUCAUUCCAUUCAGUGGUUCUCUAAAAGAAGUCAUUUGUAUGCAUUUCCCAUAGGGUCCUAUGUUAAACUAAGUUCCCCGAUGGCGGCCAUCUUGGAUGAUGGAUCGGCUACAAAGUAACAACACAUGGUCAGCACCUCAUGAGGAACAUUCAUGCCAUGUUUGGUUUUAUUCCAUUUAGUGGUUCUCUAAAAGAAGUCAUUUGUAUGCAUUUCCAAUAGGGUCCUAUGUUAAAUUAAGUCCCCCGCUGGCGGCCAUCUUGGAUGAUGGAUCGGCUACAAAGUAACAACACUUGGUGAGCACCUAAUAAGGAACAUUCAUGCCAUGUUUGGUUUCAUUCCAUUCAGUGGUUCUCUAAAAGAAGUCAUUUGUAUGCAUUUCCCAUAGGGUCCUAUGUUAAACUAAGUCCCCCGCUGGCGGCCAUCUUGGAUGAUGGAUCGGCUACAAAUAACAACACUUGGUCAGCACCUCAUAAGGAACAUUCAUG
Molecule: long non-coding RNA, 641 nt
Organism: Mytilus californianus (California mussel)
Lineage: Eukaryota; Metazoa; Mollusca; Bivalvia; Mytilida; Mytilidae
Exons: 3
Source: RefSeq, a predicted model, not a curated record